RNAcentral lists this long non-coding RNA (1985 nucleotides) under Homo sapiens (human). RNAcentral describes it as "HSALNT0035165". The record is from RNAcentral. Lineage: Eukaryota; Metazoa; Chordata; Mammalia; Primates; Hominidae.
AGAAUCAGAAAGGAGUAAUCGGGGUGUUGCAAGUCCUGAUUACGCAGAGACAUUAACCACAUUUCAUGCAUCUCCAAUCAGCCUAUUCUUCCUGCCCUCCAAAAGGAGAAACAGUUUUCCCAGGUGGCCAAGCUAAGUGGUCCCUUACCAUCUGGACUUUUCUUGAAGCAGAACAUCAGGAUGGUGUUGAGAGAGAGCCCUGUCUGCUGUCAUGGUGCAGGUCACCGCUAAAAGUAUUAUGAUGGGUGUGUACACAGGUGCAACGCCUUUGAGAAUCAGGCCCUCCCCCUGCACUCACACACAAUUGAAAGGAAAGGGAACCAGGUCCGGAGGCAUGUGAGCUGUGGUCACUCUUACCCUGCAUGAGAGGGUAGCCAGGCCUCAGGAGGAUGAGUGAGUAUGGAGAAGAGGGAGGCUGAGACCCCAGUAGGGCAUCCCCAACCUCAGCAAAGUUUCCUGGGCUCCAUAUGUGACCUCAAAGCAAAAAGGUACCCUACCUGGAAAUACUACAGGCCUGGACAAUGAGGAAGACAGAGGCAGCUGUGAUGAAAUGCAGAGUAGGGAUGUUCCUCUGAUUCUCAGGGCUCUAUAGCAGCAUCUUGGACACCCCGGCAGGAAGAAGAACCUAACAGUGUCCAACAUGGAUUAUGUAGGAAGGACAAGGUCCUGGGGUCAGAUUUAAGUUGGUUUAAGGAAAACAAAUGUAGCAAGAGUGAGAUUCAUACCAAUUAUAUUUAUUUGAUUGUACAGCUCCCUCUUUCCUACCUCACCCCCCUUAAAGUAGAUUAUGUAUAAGCUAUGUUAAAAGUAGAUAUGUAUAAGCUAUUUUACACACACACACACACACACACACACACACACACACACACUUAUUUUUAGAACAGUUUUGGGAUCACAUCAAAAUUGAGCAGAAAGUAGAGAGAUUUCUUAUAUGUCCCCUGCGCCACAUGUGCACAGCCUCCCCAGCUAUUGACAUCCUGCCCCAGAGUGGUACAUUUGUUACAAUCCAUAAACCUACACUGCUACUUCCCCACUGUAUAGUUAACAUUUAGGGACUUUUCCAUUUAUAGUUUACACUGGGGACUGCUCUUGCUGUGGUACAUUCUAUGUGUUUGGGCGAAUGCACAAUUACAUGUAUCCCUCAUUGCAGUAUCAUACAAAAUAGUUUCACUGCCCUAAAAAAUCCUCUAUGUUCUGCCUAUUUAAUCCCUCCUUCCCUCAACCCCUGGCAACUACUUAUCUUUUUUAUAGUCUCCAUAGUUUUGCCUUUUCCAGAAUUCCAAGAGUUGGAAUCAUACUGUAUAUAGCCUUUUCAGCCUGGCUACUUUCACCUAGUAAUAUGCAUUUAAGUUUCCUCCAUGUUGUUUCAUGGCUUGAUAGCUCGUUUCUUUUUAGUAGUGAAUAAUACUCUAUUGCCUGGGGGUAUCACAGUUUAUUUAUCCAUUCCCUACUGAGAGACAUUUUGGUUGCUUCCCAGUUUUGGCAAUUAUGAUUAAAGCCAUUAUAAACAUUCGUGUGCAAGUUUUCGUGUAGACAAUGUUUUCAAUUCAUUUGGGUAAAUACCAAGUAGUGUGAUUGCUGGAUCAUCUAGUAAGAGCAUGUUUCGUUUUGCAAGAAACUGCCAAAUUGCCUUCUGAAGUGGCCAUACAGUUUUUCAUUCUCACCAGCAAUGGAUGAGUGUUCCUUUACUCCACAUCCUUACCAGCAUUUGGUGGUGUCAGUGUUCUGAAUUUUGAUCAUUCUAACGGGUGCGUAGCAGUGUCUCAUUGUUGUUUUAAUUUGCAAUUCCCUCAUGACAUAUGAUGUUGAACUUCUUUUUGUAUGCAUACUAUUUGUAUAUAUUUUUUGGUGUGGUGUUUAUUCAGGUAUUUUCCCAUUUUUUAAUUGGGUUGUUCAUUUUCUUAUUGUUGAGACUUCUUUGUAUAUUUUGGAUGAUAGUCUUUUAUCAGAUGUGUCUUUUGCAAAUAUUUUCUCCCAAACUGUGG